RNAcentral lists this ribosomal RNA (796 nucleotides) under uncultured Nitrososphaera sp. RNAcentral describes it as "bacterial SSU rRNA". It matches the Rfam family "Archaeal small subunit ribosomal RNA", at positions 440 to 1233 of the family's 1478-position model. Lineage: Archaea; Thermoproteati; Nitrososphaerota; Nitrososphaeria; Nitrososphaerales; Nitrososphaeraceae. The record is from RNAcentral.
GGGUGGGCAAGUCUGGUGUCAGCCGCCGCGGUAAUACCAGCACCCCGAGUUGUCGGGACGAUUAUUGGGCCUAAAGCAUCCGUAGCCUGUUCUGCAAGUCCUCCGUUAAAUCCACCCGCUUAACGGAUGGGCUGCGGGGGAUACUGCAGAGCUAGGAGGCGGGAGAGGCAAGCGGUACUCAGUGGGUAGGGGUAAAAUCCAUUGAUCUACUGAAGACCACCAGUGGCGAAAGCGGGUUGCCAAAACGCGCUCGACGGUGAGGGAUGAAAGCUGGGGGAGCAAACCGGAUUAGAUACCCCGGGUAGUCCCAGCUGUAAACGAUGCAGACUCGGUGAUGGGUUGGCCUCGAGCCAACCCAGUGCCGCAGGGAAGCCGUUAAGUCUGCCGCCUGGGGCAGUACGUUCGCAAGACUGAAACUUAAAGGAAUUGGCGGGGGAGCACCACAAGGGGUGAAGCCUGCGGUUCAAUUGGAGUCAACGCCGGGAAUCUUACCGGGGGCGACAGCAGAGUGAAGGUCAAGCUGAAGACUUUACCAGACAAGCUGAGAGGAGGUGCAUGGCCGUCGCCAGCUCGUNCCGUGAGGUGUCCUGUUAAGUCAGGUAACGAGCAAGAUCCCUGCCUCUAGUUGCUACCACUGCUCUCAGGAGCAGAGGGGCUAAUUAGAGGGACCGCCGCCGCUGAGUCGGAGGAAGGAGGGGGCUACGGCAGGUCAGUACGCCCCGAAACCCUCGGGCCACACGCGGGCUGCAAUGGUAAGGACAGCGGGCUCCGAUCCCGAAAGGGGGAGGAAUCCCUC